Molecule: long non-coding RNA, 388 nt
Organism: Saccostrea cuccullata (small rock oyster)
Lineage: Eukaryota; Metazoa; Mollusca; Bivalvia; Ostreida; Ostreidae
Exons: 3
Source: RefSeq, a predicted model, not a curated record
UUGCAUGUAAACACAAAUCAAUAUUUUAUUGUAGUUUUCCACAAGACAUCACUGUAUUUAUUAAUGACAGCCAACAAACUGUAACUAGACAGUGGCCUAGGGCAAAUGCCCAUCUACCAUUGCCAAUCUGCUACUGGACUGACUUUCUGCCAGUUACAGCUGUUGACCAGAUAGCCGACAAACUGUAACUAAACAGUGGCCUAGGGCAAAGCCGGAAAUGCCCAUCUACCAUUGCCAAUCUGCUACUGGACUGACUUUCUGCCAGUUACAGCUGUCGACCAGAUAGCCGACAAACUGCAACAAGACAUUGGCUAGGGCAAAGCUGGAAACACCCAUCUGCCAUUGCCAGCCUACUACUGGACUGACAUUAUGCCAGUUACAGCUGUCG